CGUAGGUGGCAAGCGUUGUCCGGAUUUAUUGGGUUUAAAGGGUGCGUAGGCGGCCCUGUAAGUCAGUGCUGAAAUAUCCCAGCUUAACUGGGAGGGUGGCAUUGAUACUGCGGGGCUAGAGUACAGAUGAGGUAGGCGGAAUUGACGGUGUAGCGGUGAAAUGCUUAGAUAUCGUCAAGAACACCUAUAGCGAAGGCAGCUUACUAGGCUGUAACUGACGCUGAGGCACGAAAGUGUGGGGAUCAAACAGGAUUAGAUACCCUGGUAGUCCACACUGUAAACGUUGAUUACUCGCUGUGUGCGAUAUACAGUACGCGGCCAAGCGAAAGCGCUAAGUAAUACACCUGGGGAGUACGCCGGCAACGGUG
RNAcentral lists this ribosomal RNA (368 nucleotides) under uncultured organism. RNAcentral's name for it is "bacterial SSU rRNA". It matches the Rfam family "Bacterial small subunit ribosomal RNA", at positions 526 to 896 of the family's 1533-position model. The record is from RNAcentral.